Molecule: ribosomal RNA, 253 nt
Filed under: uncultured bacterium
Lineage: Bacteria
Description: partial 16S ribosomal RNA
Rfam family: Bacterial small subunit ribosomal RNA
Source: RNAcentral
UACGUAGGCAGCGAGCGUUGCUCGGAAUUACUGGGCGUAAAGCGCACGUAGGCGGCUUUCUAAGUCGGGGGUGAAAUCCUGGAGCUCAACUCCAGAACUGCCUUCGAUACUGGAAAGCUCGAGUCCGGGAGAGGUGAGUGGAACUGCGAGUGUAGAGGUGAAAUUCGUAGAUAUUCGCAAGAACACCAGUGGCGAAGGCGGCUCACUGGCCCGGUACUGACGCUGAGGUGCGAAAGCGUGGGGAGCAAACAGG